RNAcentral lists this unclassified non-coding RNA (395 nucleotides) under soil metagenome. RNAcentral describes it as "partial contains 5.8S ribosomal RNA, internal transcribed spacer 2, and large subunit ribosomal RNA". The stretch from base 1 to 122 matches the Rfam family "5.8S ribosomal RNA", at positions 35 to 154 of the family's 154-position model. The record is from RNAcentral.
GAUGAAGAACGUAGCGAAAUGCGAUACUUGGUGUGAAUUGCAGAAUCCCGUGAACCAUCGAGUCUUUGAACGCAAGUUGCGCCCGAAGCCAUCAGGUUGAGGGCACGUCUGCCUGGGCGUCACAUAUCGUUGCCCAAUGCCUAUUGCAGUGCAAUAGGAAUUUCUAGGGCGAAUGAUGGCUUCCCGUGAGCGUUGUUGCCUCGCGGUUGGUUGAAAAUCGAGUCCUUGGUAGGGUGUGCCAUGGUAGAUGGUGGUCGAGUUAGAACGAUACCGAUCAUGUGCAUGCUCCCCAAAAUAUGGCCUCUAUGACCCACACGCGUCUUUUGACGCUCAUGACGAGACCUCAGGUCAGGCGGGGCUAACCGCUGAAUUUAAGCAUAUCAAUAAGCGGAGGA